GAAGAGCGUGUACGCGAGCCAGUCUCCAG
RNAcentral lists this small RNA (29 nucleotides) under Bombyx mori (domestic silkworm). RNAcentral describes it as "ovarian small RNA-15223". Lineage: Eukaryota; Metazoa; Arthropoda; Insecta; Lepidoptera; Bombycidae. The record is from RNAcentral.